GAUGAACGCUAGCAGAACGCUUAACACAUGCAAGUCGAACGAGAAGUUUCACUUCGGUGAAAUGGAAAGUGGCAGACGAGCGAGUAACGCGUACCUAACCUACCCCUAAGUUGAGAACAACCAUGGAGACAUGGCUAAUUCUCAAUAGUCUCAUAGGAAUGAAAAUACUAUGAGUAAAGAUUUAUCGCUUAGGGAGGGGGGUGCGUCCUAUCAGGUAGUUGGUGGAGGUAAUGGCCUACCAAGCCUAUGACGGGUAGCCGGUUUGAGAUGAUGAUCGGCCGCGAUGGGACUGAGACACGGCCCAUACUCCUACGGGAGGCAGCAGUGGGGAAUCUUGCACAAUGGACGAAAGUCUGAUGCAGCGAUUCUGCGUGGAGGAUGAAGCAUUAAGGUGUGUAAACUUCUUUUUUGGAGGAAGACGAAUGACGGUACUCCAAGAAUAAGGGACGGCUAACUACGCGCCAGCAGCCGCGGUAAUACGUAGGUCCCAAGCGUUAUCCGGAUUUACUGGGCGUAAAGGGUCCGUAGCCGGAUGUAUAAGUCUAUUUUCAAAUACUUGGGCUCAACCGAAGGAAGGGAAUAGAUACUGUACAUCUAGAAGUUAUUGGGGGUUAAUGGAAUUUCCGGUGGAGCGGUGAAAUGUGUUGAUAUCGGAAAGAAUGCCGAAAGCGAAAGCAGUUAACUACAGUAAACUUGACGGUCAGGGACGAAAGCUUGGGGAGCGAACAGG
This 730-nucleotide ribosomal RNA is filed under the name uncultured bacterium. RNAcentral's name for it is "bacterial SSU rRNA". It matches the Rfam family "Bacterial small subunit ribosomal RNA", at positions 28 to 776 of the family's 1533-position model. The record is from RNAcentral.